CAGAGUAGGAACGGCGCGUUAAGUGCCAUGGGAUGGGAAGUUGCCCAUGGACGAAGGGAGUAUAUCUUCCGCGGUGCCGUCUCCGCGUCCGCUGC
This 95-nucleotide non-coding RNA is filed under the name human gut metagenome. RNAcentral describes it as "THF riboswitch". It matches the Rfam family "THF (Tetrahydrofolate) riboswitch aptamer". Rfam says of the family: THF riboswitch presents a pseudoknot that joins P1-P2 and the loop of P3 and two THF binding. The record is from RNAcentral.